This 27-nucleotide non-coding RNA is filed under the name Homo sapiens (human). The record is from RNAcentral. Lineage: Eukaryota; Metazoa; Chordata; Mammalia; Primates; Hominidae.
UGGUAUUGACAGUGAGGGGUCUGGAGC